This 459-nucleotide ribosomal RNA is filed under the name uncultured bacterium. RNAcentral describes it as "partial 16S ribosomal RNA". It matches the Rfam family "Bacterial small subunit ribosomal RNA", at positions 338 to 795 of the family's 1533-position model. The record is from RNAcentral.
CCUACGGGUGUCAGCAGUGAGGAAUAUUGGUCAAUGGCCGGAAGGCUGAACCAGCCAAGCCGCGUGAGGGACGACGGUGCCAAGCAUUGUAAACUUCUUUUGUCAGGGGACAAAAUCAGCCUCGAGCGCCUGACCGAGGGUACUUGAAGAAAAAGCAUCGGCUAACUCCGUGCCCGCAGCCGCGGUAAUACGGAGGAUGCGAGCGUUAUCCGGAUUUAUUGGGUUUAAAGGGUGCGUAGGCGGACUGUUAAGUCAGCGGUAAAAGUGCGGGGCUCAACCCCGUCGAGCCGUUGAAACUGGGUGUCUUGAGAGGGUGAGAGGUAUGCGGAAUGCGCAGUGUAGCGGUGAAAUGCUUAGAUAUCGCGCAGAACUCCGAUUGCGAAGGCAGCAUACCGGCGCCGAUCUGACGCUGAGGCACGAAAGUGUGGGUAUCGAACAGGAUUAGAUACCCGGGUAGUC